This 136-nucleotide microRNA precursor is filed under the name Hordeum vulgare. RNAcentral's name for it is "microRNA MIR1122". It matches the Rfam family "MIR1120/MIR1122 microRNA precursor family". Lineage: Eukaryota; Viridiplantae; Streptophyta; Magnoliopsida; Poales; Poaceae. The record is from RNAcentral.
GAGAUACUCCCUCCGUCCCAAAAUUCUUGUCUUACAUUUGUCUAGAUAUUAAUGUAUCUAGUCAUAUUUUAGUAUUUAGAUACAUCCAUUUUUAGACAAACGUAAGACAAGACUUUUGGGACGGAGGGAGUAGUAU